This 72-nucleotide transfer RNA is filed under the name Monodelphis domestica (gray short-tailed opossum). It matches the Rfam family "tRNA". Rfam says of the family: Transfer RNA (tRNA) molecules are approximately 80 nucleotides in length. Their secondary structure includes four short double-helical elements and three loops (D, anti-codon, and T loops). The record is from Rfam by way of RNAcentral. Lineage: Eukaryota; Metazoa; Chordata; Mammalia; Didelphimorphia; Didelphidae.
GGCAGUGUGGGUUAGUGGUAGACUGCUGGACCUGAAGUCAGGAAGAUCUAGGUUCAAAUCCUAUCUCAGACA